RNAcentral lists this non-coding RNA (24 nucleotides) under Arabidopsis thaliana (thale cress). The record is from RNAcentral. Lineage: Eukaryota; Viridiplantae; Streptophyta; Magnoliopsida; Brassicales; Brassicaceae.
ACAAAAUAACCAUGGACCCACGUU